Molecule: long non-coding RNA, 343 nt
Filed under: Elaeis guineensis (African oil palm)
Lineage: Eukaryota; Viridiplantae; Streptophyta; Magnoliopsida; Arecales; Arecaceae
Description: long non-coding RNA (EGUI_LNC070473)
Source: RNAcentral
UAAUCCUUGCUCCAUUGCCAACUCGAAGAGAGAUCUUGCCUUCCCUCAGCCCUCUUACUUCUUCAAGACCCUGCAUAGAAGUGCACAAAAAAGUACUUGAACCAGAAUCAAGAGCCCAACUUGAAGAAGAGAAAAUUUUUAGAUUAGUUUCAAUAACGAGCAUAUCAAAUAUACUUUCAGAAGUCCCAUCCUUCUUUCUGCUCUUGACAGUCAUCAGGUAGGUCGGAUAGUUCCUUCUCAGUGGCCUUCGACGUUGCAAUGAAAACACUUUUUCUUGUCGUCAGCCUUCUUCGAAACAUGCUUCUUGGGCUUGGCCUCAUUCUUUUGCUUCUUUGCAGGCUUC